UGAGGAAUAUUGGGCAAUGCCCGCAAGGGUGACCCAGCAACGCCGCGUGGAGGAUGAAUGUCGUAAGAUUGUAAACUCCUGUUAGAGGGGAAGAAUAGUACCGGUUGGACCGGUAUAUGACUGUACCCUCAGAGAAAGCCCCGGCUAACUACGUGCCAGCAGCCGCGGUAAUACGUAGGGGGCACGCGUGGUCCGGAUUUACUGGGUGUAAAGGGCGCGCAGGCGGGAUAAAAAGUCAGUGGUGAAAUCCUACAGCUUAACUGUAGAACUGCCUUUGAUACUUUUAUUCUUGAGUUCGGGAGAGAGAGACGGAAUUCCAGGUGUAGUGGUGAAAUACGUAGAUAUCUGGAAGAACACCAGUUGCGAAGGCGGUCUCUUGGUCCGACACUGACGCUGAGGCGCGAAAGCGUGGGGAGCAAACA
Molecule: ribosomal RNA, 422 nt
Filed under: uncultured bacterium
Lineage: Bacteria
Description: bacterial SSU rRNA
Rfam family: Bacterial small subunit ribosomal RNA
Source: RNAcentral